GCCAGGCAUCGUAUCAUGGGCCUAUAGUCCCAGCUACUCAGGAGGCUGAGGCUAGAGGAUCACUUGAGCCCAGGUGUACUGGGCUGUAGUGUGCUAUGCCAAUUGGGUAAGUUUGGCUAUACUAAGUUUGGCAUCCAUAUGGCAGCCUGGGAGUGGAGGACCAUCAGGGGUGAACCAGCCCUGGUUAGAAACACAGCAGGCCAGAACUCCUGUGCUGAUCAGUGGUGGGAUCAUGCCUGUGUGUGGCCACUGCACUUUAUACUGGGCAACAUAAUGACAUUCCAUCUCU
This 289-nucleotide signal recognition particle RNA is filed under the name Microcebus murinus (gray mouse lemur). Its description in RNAcentral is "Metazoan signal recognition particle RNA (ENSMICG00000028888.2)". It matches the Rfam family "Metazoan signal recognition particle RNA". From Rfam's summary of the family: The signal recognition particle (SRP) is a universally conserved ribonucleoprotein. It is involved in the co-translational targeting of proteins to membranes. Lineage: Eukaryota; Metazoa; Chordata; Mammalia; Primates; Cheirogaleidae. The record is from RNAcentral.